Molecule: ribosomal RNA, 377 nt
Filed under: uncultured eukaryote
Lineage: Eukaryota
Description: partial 18S ribosomal RNA
Rfam family: Eukaryotic small subunit ribosomal RNA
Source: RNAcentral
CAAUAGCGUAUAUUUAAGUUGCUGCAGUUAAAAAGCUCGUAGUUGGAUUUCGGGUGGGAAUGGCCGGUCCGCCGUUUCGGUGUGCACUUGCUACGCCCACCUUGCUGCCGGGGACGUGCUCUUGAGUUCACGCUCGGGACACGGAGUCGGCGCGGUUACUUUGAGUAAAUUAGAGUGUUCAAAGCAGGCCUACGCUCUGAAUACAUUAGCAUGGAAUAACACGAUAGGACUCUGGCCUAUCUUGUUGGUCUGUAGGACCGGAGUAAUGAUUAAGAGGGACAGUCGGGGGCAUUCGUAUUUCAUUGUCAGAGGUGAAAUUCUUGGAUUUAUGAAAGACGAACUACUGCGAAAGCAUUUGCCAAGGAUGUUUUCAUUAA